RNAcentral lists this ribosomal RNA (468 nucleotides) under uncultured bacterium. Its description in RNAcentral is "partial 16S ribosomal RNA". It matches the Rfam family "Bacterial small subunit ribosomal RNA", at positions 28 to 507 of the family's 1533-position model. The record is from RNAcentral.
GACGAACGCUGGCGGCGUGCUUAACACAUGCAAGUCGAACGGAAAGGCCCUGCUUUUGUGGGGUGCUCGAGUGGCGAACGGGUGAGUAACACGUGAGUAACCUGCCCUUGACUUUGGGAUAACUUCAGGAAACUGGGGCUAAUACCGGAUAGGAGCUCCUGCUGCAUGGUGGGGGUUGGAAAGUUUCGGCGGUUGGGGAUGGACUCGCGGCUUAUCAGCUUGUUGGUGGGGUAGUGGCUUACCAAGGCUUUGACGGGUAGCCGGCCUGAGAGGGUGACCGGGCACAUUGGGACUGAGAUACGGCGCAGACUCGUACGGUAGGCAACAGUGGGGAAUAUUGCACAGUGGUCGGAAGCCUGAUGCAGCAACGCCGGGUGCGGGAUGACGGCCUUCGGGUUGUAAACCGCUUUCGCCUGUGACGAAGCGUGAGUGACGGUAAUGGGUAAAGAAGCACCGGCUAACUACGUG